RNAcentral lists this ribosomal RNA (504 nucleotides) under uncultured bacterium. RNAcentral describes it as "partial 16S ribosomal RNA". It matches the Rfam family "Bacterial small subunit ribosomal RNA", at positions 29 to 523 of the family's 1533-position model. The record is from RNAcentral.
AUUGAACGCUGGCGGCAGGCCUAACACAUGCAAGUCGAGCGGUAGCACAGAGAGCUUGCUCUCGGGUGACGAGCGGCGGACGGGUGAGUAAUGUCUGGGAAACUGCCUGGCGGAGGGGGAUAACUACUGGAAACGGUAGCUAAUACCGCAUAACGUCGCAAGACCAAAGAGGGGGACCUUCGGGCCUCUUGCCAUCAGAUGUGCCCAGAUGGGAUUAGCUAGUAGGUGGGGUAACGGCUCACCUAGGCGACGAUCCCUAGCUGGGCUGAGAGGAUGACCAGCCACACUGGAACUGAGACACGGUCCAGACUCCUACGGGAGGCAGCAGUGGGGAAUAUUGCACAAUGGGCGCAAGCCUGAUGCAGCCAUGCCGCGUGUAUGAAGAAGGCCUUCGGGUUGUAAAGUACUUUCAGCGGGGAGGAAGGCGGUGAGGUUAAUAACCUCAUCGAUUGACGUUACCCGCAGAAGAAGCACCGGCUAACUCCGUGCCAGCAGCCGCCGUAA